This 253-nucleotide ribosomal RNA is filed under the name uncultured bacterium. RNAcentral describes it as "partial 16S ribosomal RNA". It matches the Rfam family "Bacterial small subunit ribosomal RNA", at positions 524 to 776 of the family's 1533-position model. The record is from RNAcentral.
UACGAAGGGGGCUAGCGUUGUUCGGAAUUACUGGGCGUAAAGGGCGCGUAGGCUGUGAUGUAAGUCAGGCGUGAAAGCCCCGGGCUCAACCUGGGAAUUGCGCUUGAUACUGCGGCGCUGGAAGGUGGGAGAGGAUGGCGGAAUUCCCAGUGUAGAGGUGAAAUUCGUAGAUAUUGGGAAGAACACCGGUGGCGAAGGCGGCCAUCUGGCCCACAAUUGACGCUGAGGCGCGAAAGCGUGGGGAGCAAACAGG